RNAcentral lists this ribosomal RNA (632 nucleotides) under uncultured bacterium. RNAcentral's name for it is "bacterial SSU rRNA". It matches the Rfam family "Bacterial small subunit ribosomal RNA", at positions 28 to 659 of the family's 1533-position model. The record is from RNAcentral.
AUUGAACGCUGGCGGCAUGCCUUACACAUGCAAGUCGAACGGUAACAGGUCUUCGGAUGCUGACGAGUGGCGAACGGGUGAGUAAUGCAUCGGAACGUGCCCAGUAGUGGGGGAUAGCCCGGCGAAAGCCGGAUUAAUACCGCAUACGACCUGAGGGUGAAAGGGGGGGAUCGCAAGACCUCUCGCUAUUGGAGCGGCCGAUGUCAGAUUAGCUAGUUGGUGGGGUAAAGGCCUACCAAGGCAACGAUCUGUAGUUGGUCUGAGAGGACGACCAGCCACACUGGGACUGAGACACGGCCCAGACUCCUACGGGAGGCAGCAGUGGGGAAUUUUGGACAAUGGGCGCAAGCCUGAUCCAGCAAUGCCGCGUGCAGGAAGAAGGCCUUCGGGUUGUAAACUGCUUUUGUCAGGGAAGAAAUCUUCUGGGUUAAUACCUCGGGAGGAUGACGGUACCUGAAGAAAAAGCACCGGCUAACUACGUGCCAGCAGCCGCGGUAAUACGUAGGGUGCGAGCGUUAAUCGGAAUUACUGGGCGUAAAGCGUGCGCAGGCGGCUUUGCAAGACAGAGGUGAAUCCCCGGGCUCAACCUGGGACUGCCUUUGUGACUGCAAGGCUAGAGUACGGCAGAGGGG